CCUACGGGAGGCAGCAGGGGGGAAUAUUGCACAAUGGGGGAAACCCUGAUGCAGCGACGCCGCGUGAGUGAAGAAGUAUUUCGGUAUGUAAAGCUCUAUCAGCAGGGAAGAAAGAGCGACCUUUGGGUCGCCAGACGGUACCUGAUUAAGAAGCCCCGACUAACUACGUGCCAGCAGCCGCGGUAAUACGUAGGGGGCAAGCGUUAUCCGGAUUUACUGGGUGGAAAGGGAGCGUAGACGGCAGCGCAAGUCUGAAGUGAAAUGCCGGGGCUUAACCCCGGAACUGCUUUGGAAACUGUGCAGCUAGAGUGCAGGAGAGGUAAGUGGAAUUCCUAGUGUAGCGGUGAAAUGCGUAGAUAUUAGGAGGAACCCCAGUGGCGAAGGCGGCUUACUGGACUGUAACUGACGUUGAGGCUCGAAAGCGUGGGGAGCAAACAGGAUUAGAUACCCUGGUAGUC
This 458-nucleotide ribosomal RNA is filed under the name uncultured bacterium. RNAcentral describes it as "partial 16S ribosomal RNA". It matches the Rfam family "Bacterial small subunit ribosomal RNA", at positions 338 to 795 of the family's 1533-position model. The record is from RNAcentral.